RNAcentral lists this ribosomal RNA (2535 nucleotides) under activated sludge metagenome. Its description in RNAcentral is "bacterial LSU rRNA". It matches the Rfam family "Bacterial large subunit ribosomal RNA". The record is from RNAcentral.
ACCUGGAGGAAAAGACAUCAACCGAGACUCCGUUAGUAGUGGCGAGCGAAAGCGGACCAGGCCAGUGGCCUGCUGCAAGGAACCGGAACGGUCUGGAAAGGCCGGCCAGAGCGGGUGAUAGCCCCGUACGGGUAGUUAUUGCGGCGGGUCCUUGAGUAGGGCGGGACACGUGAAAUCCUGUCUGAACAUGGGGGGACCACCCUCCAAGCCUAAGUACUCCUUGGUGACCGAUAGGGAACGAGUACCGUGAGGGAAAGGUGAAAAGCACCCCGAUGAGGGGAGUGAAAUAGAACCUGAAACCGAAUGCCUACAAACAGUGGGAGCCCGCGAGGGUGACCGCGUACCUUUUGUAUAAUGGGUCAGCGAGUUGGUCUUACGAGCGAGCUUAAGCCGUUAGGUGUAGGCGCAGCGAAAGCGAGUCUGAAUAGGGCGCUUUAGUUCGUAGGAUCAGACCCGAAACCGAGUGAUCUAGCCAUGGGCAGGUUGAAGGUGGGGUAACACCCACUGGAGGACCGAACUCACGCCUGUUGAAAAAGUCGGAGAUGACCUGUGGUUAGGGGUGAAAGGCCAAUCAAACUCGGAGAUAGCUGGUUCUCCGCGAAAGCUAUUUAGGUAGCGCGUCGGGUAUUGCCCUCGGGGGUAGAGCACUGGAUGGGCUAGGGGGUCGCGAGACUUACCAAACCUAACCAAACUCCGAAUACCGAGGAGCAGAGCCCGGCAGACAGGCGGCGGGUGCUAAGGUCCGUCGCCAAGAGGGAAAGAGCCCAGACCGCCAGCUAAGGUCCCUAAAUCAUGGCUAAGUGGGAAAGGAUGUGAGAAGGCCAAGACAACCAGGAAGUUGGCUUAGAAGCAGCCAUCUUUUAAAGAAAGCGUAAUAGCUCACUGGUCUAGACAAGCCGUCUCGCGCCGAAAAUGUAACGGGGCUCAAGCCAUGUACCGAAGCUGCGGGCUUGCGAAAGCAAGCGGUAGCGGAGCGUUCCGUAGGCCUGCGAAGGGAUAUCCGUGAGGGGUCCUGGAGGUAUCGGAAGUGCGAAUGCUGACAUGAGUAGCGACAAACAGAGUGAGAAACUCUGUCGCCGAAAGUCCAAGGGUUCCUGCGCAAGGUUAAUCCGCGCAGGGUGAGCCGGCCCCUAAGGCGAGGCCGAAAGGCGUAGCCGAUGGGAAUGGGGUUAAUAUUCCCCAGCCAGCGAUGGGUGACGGAUGACGGAAGCUGUACGGGCUUAACGGAUUGCCUGUGCGGCCUGGUCGUUCCAGGAAAGAACCCUCGCAUGUGACCGUACCCGAAACCGACACAGGUGGACUGGUAGAGUAUACCAAGGCGCUUGAGAGAACUAUGCUGAAGGAACUCGGCAAUUUACCUCCGUAACUUCGGAAUAAGGAGGACCUCUGCUUGCGCAAGCAGGCAGGGGUGGCACAGACCAGGGGGUGGCAACUGUUUAGCAAAAACACAGGGCUCUGCGAAAUCGCAAGAUGACGUAUAGGGUCUGACGCCUGCCCGGUGCCGGAAGGUUAAGAGGAGAGGUGCAAGCCUUGAAUCGAAGCCCCGGUAAACGGCGGCCGUAACUAUAACGGUCCUAAGGUAGCGAAAUUCCUUGUCGGGUAAGUUCCGACCUGCACGAAUGGCGUAACGACUUCCCCGCUGUCUCCAGCACAGGCUCAGCGAAAUUGAAUUCCCCGUGAAGAUGCGGGGUACCCGCGGUUAGACGGAAAGACCCCGUGCACCUUUACUACAGCUUUGCAGUGGCAUUAGGACUAAUAUGUGUAGGAUAGGCGGGAGGCGAUGAAACCUGGGCGCCAGUUCAGGUGGAGCCAGCCUUGAAAUACCGCCCUUAUGGGUUCUGAUGUCUAACCGCGCUCCUGAAACGGGAGCCGGGACCCUGCAUGGCGGGUAGUUUGACUGGGGCGGUCGCCUCCCAAAGAGUAACGGAGGCGCGCGAUGGUGAGCUCAGGCUGGUCGGAAAUCAGCCCUUGAGUGCAAUGGCAUAAGCUCGCCUGACUGCGAGGCCGACGGGCCGAGCAGAGACGAAAGUCGGUCAUAGUGAUCCGGUGGUCCCGCGUGGAAGGGCCAUCGCUCAACGGAUAAAAGGUACGCCGGGGAUAACAGGCUGAUGACCCCCAAGAGUCCAUAUCGACGGGGUCGUUUGGCACCUCGAUGUCGGCUCAUCGCAUCCUGGGGCUGGAGCAGGUCCCAAGGGUAUGGCUGUUCGCCAUUUAAAGCGGUACGUGAGCUGGGUUUAGAACGUCGUGAGACAGUUCGGUCCCUAUCUGCCGUGGGUGUUCGAGACUUGCGAGGCUCUGUCCCUAGUACGAGAGGACCGGGAUGGACGUACCUCUGGUGUACCGGUUGUCGCGCCAGCGGCAGCGCCGGGUAGCUAUGUACGGACGGGAUAACCGCUGAAAGCAUCUAAGCGGGAAACCCCCCUCCAAACGAGGUCUCGCCUAAGAGCCGUGAUAGACCAUCACGUCGAUAGGCCGGGAGUGGAAGCGCGGUAACGCGUGCAGCUAACCGGUACUAAUCGCUCGAUUGGCUUGCCU